CCAUAUCACAUCAUAUUUGCCGUGGCCACUUUUUGUCACCGUUCAUUUACGACACAGAGAGCACUGUUUGAAUAGCUGUAUUAGCUGGUCUUCACUAUGUCGCGAUAACGGGCAUCACCUGGUCACCGGAUGCCCGAUAUUUGGCUUUAUCUUCACAACAUGGUUUCUGGUCUUAGAUGGAAUUUGAAAAUGACGAACGUGGAACACCUCUCUCUUUAUCAGAUGGAACGUCUUCAAGACAAGUAUAUUACAAGUCUGCUGCAGACAGCCUGUGCCA
Arachis stenosperma is the source of this 277-nucleotide long non-coding RNA. RefSeq lists it as uncharacterized. The record is from RefSeq and is a predicted model, not a curated record. NCBI's taxonomy places the organism in Eukaryota, Viridiplantae, Streptophyta, Magnoliopsida, Fabales, Fabaceae. The transcript is spliced from 3 exons.